AAGGUGUGAAAGAAAAAUGAAGUAGAGUUUUGGGAUGAAGAGAUUUGGUGUGAGAGAAAAUGAUGGAUAAUAUGUAAUUAUGUGUGUGUGUAUGAGAAAGAAGAAAUGUUUGGAAAGAUAUGUGGUGUGAGAGAGAAGAGAUGAAUAUUGUAUAAUGGUGUGUGUAGGUGUGUGUAGAGAAGUAAGUGUGUAAAAAAAAAAUAUAUGUGGGAAGAUAUGUGUGUGAGAGAGAAAGAGAAGAAAAAUGGAUAUUAUGGAAAUGUGUAAGUAAGUGUAGGAAAAUGAAGUGAAGAGAAGAUGGGUAUUUAUAGAGUUAAGGAUGAAGAAAGUGUUAAAUAAAAUAUAUUUUUAUAAAAAAGUGGGUGGAAAAAUAGUAAUAAUUAAGGUGGAAAAUAAGUGAAAGAAAUAAUAUAAAAAGUGAGUGGAUAAAUUAGGUGAAAUAAAAUAUAGUAAAUAGUAAAAGUUAAUGUGGAAAAUAAGUGAAAGAAAUAAUAUAAAAAGUGAGUGN
This 508-nucleotide long non-coding RNA is filed under the name Vigna radiata. RNAcentral's name for it is "long non-coding RNA (VRAD_LNC010572)". Lineage: Eukaryota; Viridiplantae; Streptophyta; Magnoliopsida; Fabales; Fabaceae. The record is from RNAcentral.